AGAGUUUGAUCCUGGCUCAGGACGAACGCUGGCGGCGUGCUUAACACAUGCAAGUCGAACGGAAAGGCCCUUCGGGGUACUCGAGUGGCGAACGGGUGAGUAACACGUGGGUGAUCUGCCCUGCACUUUGGGAUAAGCCUGGGAAACUGGGUCUAAUACCGAAUAUGACCAUGCGCCUCCUGGUGUGUGGUGGAAAGCUUUUGCGGUGUGGGAUGGGCCCGCGGCCUAUCAGCUUGUUGGUGGGGUAAUGGCCUACCAAGGCGACGACGGGUAGCCGGCCUGAGAGGGUGACCGGCCACACUGGGACUGAGAUACGGCCCAGACUCCUACGGGAGGCAGCAGUGGGGAAUAUUGCACAAUGGGCGCAAGCCUGAUGCAGCGACGCCGCGUGAGGGAUGACGGCCUUCGGGUUGUAAACCUCUUUCAGCACAGACGAAGCGCAAGUGACGGUAUGUGCAGAAGAAGGACCGGCCAACUACGUGCCAGCAGCCGCGGUAAUACGUAGGGUCCGAGCGUUGUCCGGAAUUACUGGGCGUAAAGAGCUCGUAGGUGGUUUGUCGCGUUGUUCGUGAAAACUCACAGCUUAACUGUGGGCGUGCGGGCGAUACGGGCAGACUUGAGUACUGCAGGGGAGACUGGGAUUCCUGGUGUAGCGGUGGAAUGCGCAGAUAUCAGGAGGAACACCGGUGGCGAAGGCGGGUCUCUGGGCAGUAACUGACGCUGAGGAGCGGAAGCGUGGGGAGCGAACAGGAUUAGAUACCCUGGUAGUCCAA
This 773-nucleotide ribosomal RNA is filed under the name uncultured bacterium. RNAcentral describes it as "bacterial SSU rRNA". It matches the Rfam family "Bacterial small subunit ribosomal RNA", at positions 8 to 798 of the family's 1533-position model. The record is from RNAcentral.